RNAcentral lists this ribosomal RNA (494 nucleotides) under uncultured bacterium. Its description in RNAcentral is "partial 16S ribosomal RNA". It matches the Rfam family "Bacterial small subunit ribosomal RNA", at positions 28 to 507 of the family's 1533-position model. The record is from RNAcentral.
GACGAACGCUGGCGGCGUGCUUAACACAUGCAAGUCGAACGGUGAAGCGCCUUCCUUUUUGGUGGGUGUGGAUGAGUGGCGAACGGGUGAGUAACACGUGAGUAACCUGCCCCCUUCUUCUGGAUAACCGCAUGAAAGUGUGGCUAAUACGGGAUAUUCUGGGUCUGUCGCAUGAUGGGUCUGGGAAAGAUAUUGUUUCGGUGGGGGAUGGGCUCGCGGCCUAUCAGCUUGUUGGUGGGGUGAUGGCCUACCAAGGCGGUGACGGGUAGCCGGCCUGAGAGGGUGGACGGUCACACUGGGACUGAGACACGGCCACGACUCCUACGGGAGGCAGCAGUGGGGAAUAUUGCACAAUGGGCGCAAGCCUGAUGCAGCGACGCCGCGUGAGGGAUGGAGGCCUUCGGGUUGUGAACCUCUUUCGCCAGUGAAGCAGGCCUGCCUCGUUUGUGGGUGGGUUGACGGUAGCUGGAUAAGAAGCGCCGGCUAACUACGUG